UGGGGAAUUUUGGACAAUGGACGCAAGUCUGAUCCAGCCAUUCCGCGUGCAGGACGAAGGCCUUCGGGUUGUAAACUGCUUUUGUACAGAACGAAAAGGUCUCUAUUAAUACUAGGGGCUCAUGACGGUACUGUAAGAAUAAGCACCGGCUAACUACGUGCCAGCAGCCGCGGUAAUACGUAGGGUGCAAGCGUUAAUCGGAAUUACUGGGCGUAAAGCGUGCGCAGGCGGUUAUAUAAGACAGAUGUGAAAUCCCCGGGCUCAACCUGGGAACUGCAGUUGUGACUGUAUAGCUGGAGUGCGGCAGAGGGGGAUGGAAUUCCGCGUGUAGCAGUGAAAUGCGUAGAUAUGCGGAGGAACACCGAUGGCGAAGGCAAUCCCCUGGGCCUGCACUGACGCUCAUGCACGAAAGCGUGGGGAGCAAACAGGAUUAGAUACCCUGGUAGUCCACGCCCUAAACGAUGUCAACUGGUUGUUGGGUCUUCACUGACUCAGUAACGAAGCUAACGCGUGAAGUUGACCGCCUGGGGAGUACGGCCGCAAGGUUG
Molecule: ribosomal RNA, 548 nt
Filed under: uncultured beta proteobacterium
Lineage: Bacteria; Pseudomonadati; Pseudomonadota; Betaproteobacteria
Description: bacterial SSU rRNA
Rfam family: Bacterial small subunit ribosomal RNA
Source: RNAcentral